GGAAGCGAACGGGUUAGGACCUCAGGGUUUUCCAGAGCUGAAGAAUGACACAUUCCUGCGAGCAGCCUGGGGAGAGGAAACAGACUACACUCCCGUUUGGUGCAUGCGCCAGGCAGGCCGUUACUUACCAGAGUUUAGGGAAACCCGGGCUGCCCAGGACUUUUUCAGCACGUGUCGCUCUCCUGAGGCCUGCUGUGAACUGACUCUGCAGGUGAGGGGUCCACAAAAGAGGGAAAGAUUUAUGCCUUCAGUCUUCCACCUAGCAACCUGUCUCCUGUUUCCUACAGCCACUGCGUCGCUUCCCUCUGGAUGCUGCCAUCAUUUUCUCCGACAUCCUUGUUGUACCCCAGGCACUGGGCAUGGAGGUGACCAUGGUACCUGGCAAAGGACCCAGCUUCCCAGAGCCAUUAAGAGAAGAGCAGGACCUAGAAUGCCUACGGGAUCCAGAAGUGGUAGCCUCUGAGCUAGACUAUGUGUUCCAAGCCAUCACCCUUACCCGACAACGACUGGCUGGACGUGUGCCGCUGAUUGGCUUUGCUGGUGCCCCAUGGACCCUGAUGACAUACAUGGUUGAGGGUGGUGGCUCAAGCACCAUGGCUCAGGCCAAGCGCUGGCUCUAUCAGAGACCUCAGGCUAGUCACCAGCUGCUUCGCAUCCUCACUGAUGCUCUGGUCCCAUAUCUGGUAGGACAAGUGGCGGCUGGUGCCCAGGUGAGUCCUGAGAGAGAAAUAGGCUGAGAUUUGGUCUGUGAGGACCAGAAGCAAGAGUGUCCUAAACCUGAGAGGGCAGGGGUCUUAAUGCCAGGGAUGAAAGAACCUUGGCCUCCAGUAAUCUAGCUGAGCAGCCAAGCCCAUCC
RNAcentral lists this small RNA (856 nucleotides) under Pongo abelii (Sumatran orangutan). RNAcentral describes it as "processed transcript". The record is from RNAcentral. Lineage: Eukaryota; Metazoa; Chordata; Mammalia; Primates; Hominidae.